This 400-nucleotide ribosomal RNA is filed under the name Biomeigenia sp. Biom_17042005. Its description in RNAcentral is "partial 16S rRNA". Lineage: Eukaryota; Metazoa; Arthropoda; Insecta; Diptera; Tachinidae. The record is from RNAcentral.
GGCCGCAGUAUUUUAACUGUGCAAAGGUAGCAUAAUCAUUAGUCUUUUAAUUGAAGGCUGGAAUGAAUGGUUGGAUGAAAUAUUAACUGUUUCAUAAAAAUUUUUAAUAAAAUUUUAUUUUUUAGUUAAAAAGCUAAAAUUUAUUUAAAAGACGAGAAGACCCUAUAAAUCUUUAUAUUUAAUUUAUUAUUAAUUAUUAGAAAUUUUUAUUUAUAAUAAAUAAAAAUAUUUUAUUGGGGUGAUAUUAAAAUUUAAUAAACUUUUAUUUUAUUUAUACAUUAAUUUAUGAUUAAUUGAUCCGUUAUUAACGAUUAAAAAUUUAAGUUACUUUAGGGAUAACAGCGUAAUUUUUUUGGAGAGUUCAUAUCGAUAAAAAAGAUUGCGACCUCGAUGUUGGAUU